Non-coding RNA from Vibrionales bacterium SWAT-3, 138 nucleotides. The record is from Rfam. Lineage: Bacteria; Pseudomonadati; Pseudomonadota; Gammaproteobacteria; Vibrionales.
CCAUCUGUAUCACCAGAUGAACCUAUGAGCCUGAAUAAAGCAGCGGCUCAGACAAUGUAACGAAGAGCGGGAAUAUCCCGUUCGGGAUUUGAAUCGUGAGAAGAAGAUCCUCCUGAUAACCACAAAUCGGGUGAGUGC